UCCCUGUGUGGCGAAAAUGGUUAAUACGCGCCAGACUUAGAAUCUGGUGGAUUAAAUUCCGUGGGAGUUCGAGUCUCCCCUAAGGGAC
Molecule: transfer RNA, 88 nt
Filed under: Aeriscardovia sp.
Lineage: Bacteria; Bacillati; Actinomycetota; Actinomycetes; Bifidobacteriales; Bifidobacteriaceae
Description: tRNA-Leu
Rfam family: tRNA
About the family: Transfer RNA (tRNA) molecules are approximately 80 nucleotides in length. Their secondary structure includes four short double-helical elements and three loops (D, anti-codon, and T loops).
Source: RNAcentral